UUGGCUUCAUAAGCGGAGGAAAAGAAACUAACUAGGAUUCCCUUAGUAACGGCGAGUGAACCGGGAUGAGCUCAAAUUUAAAAUCUGGCGUCUUUCAGGCGUCCGAGUUGUAAUCUAUAGAGGCGUUUUCCGCGCCGGACCGCGUCCAAGUCUCUUGGAAUAGAGUAUCAAAGAGGGUGACAAUCCCGUACUUGACGCGACAACCGGUGCUCUGUGAUACGUUCUCAAUGAGUCGAGUUGUUUGGGAAUGCAGCUCUAAAUGGGUGGUAAAUUCCAUCUAAGGCUAAAUAUUGGCGAGAGACCGAUAGCGAACAAGUACCGUGAGGGAAAGAUGAAAAGCACUUUGGAAAGAGAGUUAAACAGCACGUGAAAUUGUUAAAAGGGAAACGAUUGAAGUCAGUCGUGUGAAAGGUAUUCAGCCGUCUCUGGCGGUGUAUUUGCCUUUCACGGGUCAACAUCAGUUUGAUCCGGUAGAAAAAGGCAGGAGGAAGGUGGCACCCUCGGGUGUGUUAUAGCCUCUUGUCAUAUGUGCCGGACCAGACUGAGGAACGCAGCUUGCCGCAAGGCCGGGGUUCGCCCACGUACAAGCUUAGGAUGUUGACAUAAUGGCUUUAAACGACCCGUCUUGAACCGGGACCA
This 639-nucleotide ribosomal RNA is filed under the name Vishniacozyma victoriae. Its description in RNAcentral is "LSU rRNA". It matches the Rfam family "Eukaryotic large subunit ribosomal RNA", at positions 33 to 668 of the family's 3401-position model. Lineage: Eukaryota; Fungi; Basidiomycota; Tremellomycetes; Tremellales; Bulleribasidiaceae. The record is from RNAcentral.